RNAcentral lists this long non-coding RNA (4679 nucleotides) under Mus musculus (house mouse). Its description in RNAcentral is "long non-coding RNA chrX:6237465-6242144". The record is from RNAcentral. Lineage: Eukaryota; Metazoa; Chordata; Mammalia; Rodentia; Muridae.
AAAUGUUAAAGGGAGAGAACUGUGGCCUAGUCUGUUUGAUAUUCUCUAUUUUGAGUUUCUAGGCGUUUGUUCCCUGGCUCACUAAAACCUUUGGGUCUUCCUUUGCAAGGUCAGGUAAGAGACGCUGAUCAUACCUCCAGGGGAGAGUCGUCCUUCAUUGUGCCUUAAGGAAAAUGUUGCAAGUACUGUUCUUGCCUCUGGGAUUUCCUUUGGGAGACUGGGUAUAGAUGCUGGUCAGGGGAACAGACAUCACAACUUGACUCUCAAAUGCUAUUUACAUCUCUGCAUUCUUUUUGUGGCAUUAGAUUGUGAAUGUUGGCCAUGCCUCUGUGUACUCCUUCCUGAAGUUUGUUGCAUUUCUUGCAACCUGGCUUUGACCAGGUUGUAGUUCCUGAAAACCAUGCACUUGUGUUUCAACUCUCCUCACCCCACAUGAUCUAGUUCUACUGACUAAAUUUCAGCAUAUAACUAUCAUUUUUCCAGGUCUUCAGAUCACAGAGAGUCAUGGGUGGAGAACACACACAAAAAAGUUCUUUUACAAAUGGUGUUCUCAGUCUGUUGUAGUCAGGUUGUUGGUCACUAGAAGAGAGGGUUUACUUGGCGUCUCCUAAGGCUGAGGCCGUGGGCUUUCUGUCCAGUUUUCUUUUCCUGCUCCUUUCAUUGAGGAGCUACAAGGAUGGCUCAGCAGUUAAGAACACAUACUGUUCUUGCAUAAGUCUCAAAUUUAGUUCCUAGCACCAACUUCAGAUAGUUCCCAACAUCAUCUAACUCGAGCUCCAAGGUAUCCACCACCCUCUUCUUCUAGUCUCUGUGGGCAACUGCACUCAUGUACACACACACACACACACACACACACACACACACACACACACAAAUUGAUCUAUUUAUGUAUUUAUUUAUAUUUUUCAAAUAAUAUAAAACAAAAACAAAUGUAUUACAAUUUUAAAAGGCAAACAAACAAAAGAAAAAGAGCCCAAGGCAAGGCACAAGAGUCAGGGUCUCCAUAAAAACACUAAAUUGGAAGCCAUAAACUAUACUCAGAGAACCCAGAGCAGACCCCUACAGGCCCUAUGCAUGUUGCUUUGGUCUCUGUGCAUUCUUAUGAGCUUUACUUGUAUUAAUGGGGCCUUGUUUUCUUGCAUAUACACAUUUUAAAGUGUCUACAUGUCCAUCAGUGAAAUUGCACUGCAAACAUUCUGAACCUAUCUGGCUUAAGCUGUCAUUCCCACUGUCUGCUUAGUUUGGUACUUCCCAAAGUAAGCCAAGCUCUCUGAGAAGGGUCAUAGACAUUCUCUCCUGCUUGCUAAACCUUCCUGUUUUAUUUUUCCAUAAAAUAUAGAGAUUUGAGGCUGGAACUCACCUCUUCUGAUAACUGUCAUCCAACUCUCCACAUUUUAUUCUGGGGAGAUUUUAACAAGAAUGUGCUUGCGUAUCUGAUCCAGCUAUAUUUAACACCGGGAGAAGAGAUGGUGAAGUAGAAAACAGUUAGUCAUACUAUAAUGCACAAAACAAAUUUCAAAAUAGAAGAUGGAGCUUUUGAGGAGUGUCCCAAUUAAAGAAUUAACUCAAGCAUUUCAAAUUCAACCUUGGCACCUGAGGUCCUGAAAGAGAAGUAGACUGUGGGGGCCUGAUCUGUGUGGCUAUAAUUUGGCAACUGCUCAUGAAGACAAAAGUGCUUGCCAAAAGAAGGGCCCCUGGAAGUGUGCACUAGAAUCAGAAGUUUUCUUGUGGAUUACCUAUCCAACAGCCCUUGGGUCAUCAUAGGUCUCCGCUAAAUCUCUCAGCUCCUCCCAAACCAAAGUCCUCAUCUUAACAUCUUGCAUGUUUCAUGGCCUACCGGCUCAGAAACACAUGUCAAGUCUCCAUCAAGUUACUGACUCAGAGCCAAGGAGAAGGGAUCACAGUCCUAUUUAUGCACAGACCCUCUAAGCCCAAUGCUAAUCUGAGGCAGUCAGCACUGCCUUCAAUCUCAUGCCAUUUUCUCACUCCAGGUUCCUUAUGCACUGGGUGAUUUCCAACAUGGGUGUCUUACCGACGAUGUCCCUGAACACAGAACCUGACGUCUACAUGCAAUCAUGGCCUCUCAGUUGCUUAUUAAAGCAGAUAUCUUAAAGUUUAUAAGGUACUUUUGGGCUAUCCCUUCUGUCUCACAAGGCUUUUUGCUGCCACCUUGUGACUUCUGACCCUUCUGCCACUGAGAUAGAACUCUGCAUGUUUCUGUGAUGGAACAAAAGGCUUGGGGUGGGUGUCCCCUGUGAUACUGGUAAACCAGUAUUUACCCAGUAUUUACAAAAGCUACUGUUGUUUACAGCAAAACCACAGUGGGAAUAGAGGAAGUAUUCCAAACAGGAGUCACUAAUUCUUUUCUGGCUGUUUCAGCAUAAACACUAAUCAGUUACACUUCAACUUACAUACAUAUUGAUUGAGGCUCUCUUAAAAGGCCUUGUCACCAGGCUUCAUUCUUAUUUGUGAGAAUUUUUCUAGGUGAUUGUAAUAUAUCUUGGACAGGGUUCAUCCAAAAAUAGAUUGUAGUAAAAACUAUUGGAAAUUCUACCUUAAGGGUGGCAAAAUGUGAGUAUAAGAGGUUCUAAGUCCUGUAUCCUGUGCAGAUGGUAUACUAGUAGAAAGAAUGAAAUCUACCAUAAACAAAACCAAGCACACUUUUGUGGGGGGAACGUAAGCAUGGAGACAGCCUGUGGAACAGUAUGGUGCUGGGAAGUAAGGGCUAGAGAUAAGUAAAUUAGUGGGAGAAGAAAAUGACUGUGAGUGACUGUGUGUCCAGCUCAGUGGGAGAAAAUGCACACAUGGCAUUUGGAGGGAAUUGGGUUCCAUAUCCAGCACUUGUAAAAGAAAAGACAAUGAUUGUAAGAUAUGCCAGGGAUUCCAGUGGAGGGACAAGAAUCAUUGGCAGUACAAAGGACUGCCUGACCCUCAGAGAAGUGAAGUUCCAGGGAGUGGAGAUGUCUGGUGGGGUGGGGGUUGUGGGGGAGGACAUCCUCUUGGAGACAGGGGAGGAGGAACUGUCCUGUUGGAGGGCAGAGCUGGAGGGGGAUAAUGACUGAACUAUAUAAAAAAGAUUAAAGAAAAAGAAAAAGAAAAAGAAAAGAAAAGAAAGCCACAAAACAGAACUGGCACCAGCAGCCAGAAGCUUAUGGAGGAAGGUGAUGGGGGCUUCAUCCAGAGGGAGCUCUCCCAUCAUAACAAUGUAACUGUGACCACAAAGAUGUAAAAUCGUCCCUAGGACAUCCCAUGCUGGGGAUGAGAACAGCUUGGAGCCCUUGUUUCUGGAGGUGGCCUUCCCCCCAGGAAGAGAGUUUUAUAACCACAGCUAAAUCUACAUAUGUGUAUUCCUAGAUUCUGAAUCUUUUCUAGAAAAUAACUAUACAGAUGCAGGAGAGAAAGUGAGAAAGGAUGAACCUUUCUCUCCUUAGUUCUGGAAAAAUCUUUCACUGUAUCCAUUUCCUUUACUAACAAUUUUUGUCUUCCAGGUCUCUCAAGAAGGGAGCAAGUCGUGGACCUCAUACUCUUUUUCUAACAACAUGAGGCUUAUAGGCAUUUAUGACUGAGUCCUUGGUGACUGUCCUAGAUUACUAUCCUGAGAACUAGGAAGAGUGAUUGAGUGGGAAAUAAACGAGGCUUUGCACAGUGUGGCUUAUUCUUAUAUUCUCAGCACCUAGGAGGCAAGAGGAUUUCUAGCCUAGCAAAACAAUGAGAUCCAAAGUCAGUGGGAGACCUGGUCUCAAGAGAAUAAGGUGGAGAGUGAGAGCUGAUAACUGACAUCCUCCUCUGAUCCUCAGAACUCCACAGAUGUGCACACAGUCAUGUGCAUCUGUAUACAUGUACAUAUACCAACAACCACACACAUAAAAUUAUAAAAGAAGUAAACUGUGUUUGUGUGUGUGCGCGCGCGCACAUGAGCGCUUGCGUUAAAAUUAAAUUUUACAAAUGCCUAAGGCUGGAGUGGAUACAGGUAGAGCAAUCAGCACUUUCAAUCCUGACUAUUAAGAACACAAUUUGGUUUGAUUAAGAAAACGAUUUCCCUCUAUUAGCUGAAGCUCAGCAAACACCCUGUGUCAGCAUUUCAACUCUCUGAUCUGUAUCCAACAGAAAAGUGUGUGUCAGGAAAGGAAAUACAAGGAGAUGGCCACAGUGGUAAGUGCUGAUGAUAAUAAUAAUCCUAGGAGUUCAAAUCUCUGCCGGGAAGGCAAUGGAUGGAUUAACAAUAACAUAGCCAGAUUGAGAGGCUUUUACAAAUUUACUCGCCAAACAAAUGGUCCAGUUAAGACAUAUGAGGAGAAAGAGCCACAAACACCCACUGCUUGCUAUUUCUAGUGGAGGGAAGAUGUGGUUUCACACAAAGCCUUUGAACAUUUGAUCUUUCCAAACCACAAAACUCAGUUAACUGCAUGGUUUUAUGUCAAAGCCCUGUACCUUUAGCACUGCCCUCCUGGGACUCAGAUUGUCUUGUGUACCUCUUGUAUCUUCCACAGAUGUUUUAAGUUCAUUCACUAAAAAGAAAGGAGAGAGAGGAAAAAAAAGAAAGACAGAAAGAAAGAAAGAAAGAAAGAAAGAAAGAAAGAAAGAAAGAAAGAAAGAAAGGAAGGAAGGAAGGAAGGAAGGAAGGAAGGAAGGAAGGAAGGAAGAGAGAGAGAGAGAGAGAAAGAAAGAAGGAAGGAAAG